AAUCUGAGGUGGCGACCGGCGCACGGGUGAGUAACACGUAUGCAACCUGCCUCGUAAGCGGGGAAGUAACCCGUUCGAAAGAACGGACGUAAUACCGACAUAAUACUAAAUUAACUGCAUGGUAAUUUAUUUAAACAUUUAUGGCUUACAGAUGGGCAUGCGCAUGAUUAGCUAGUUGGAGAGGUAACGGCUCCCCAAGGCAACGAUCAUUAGGGGUUCUGAGAGGAAGGUCCCCCACACUGGUACUGAGACACGGACCAGACUCCUACGGGAGGCAGCAGUGAGGAAUAUUGGUCAAUGGACGAGAGUCUGAACCAGCCAAGUCGCGUGCAGGAAGAAUGUCCCUAUGGAUUGUAAACUGCUUUUGCAGGGGAAUAAAGUGCAUCACGUGUGAUGUUUUGUAUGUACUCUGCGAAUAAGGAUCGGCUAACUCCGUGCCAGCCGCUGC
RNAcentral lists this ribosomal RNA (448 nucleotides) under uncultured bacterium. RNAcentral describes it as "bacterial SSU rRNA". It matches the Rfam family "Bacterial small subunit ribosomal RNA", at positions 80 to 518 of the family's 1533-position model. The record is from RNAcentral.